UAUGUGAUCGUCUCUCGCAUAUCAAUAAGCGGAGGAAAAGAAACUAACAAGGAUUCCCCUAGUAACGGCGAGUGAAGCGGGAAGAGCUCAAAUUUGAAAUCUUAAAGGGUUUCCCUUUACGAAUUGUAGUUUAAAGAAGUGUUUUCUGUUGAGGUUUUGGUAAAAGUUCUUUGGAAUAGGACAUCAUAGAGGGUGAGAAUCCCGUAUUUGACCUUUACUUUCAACUUUGUGAUACACUUUCAAAGAGUCGGAUUGUUUGGGAAUGCAGUCCAAAAUGGGUGGUAAAUUUCAUCUAAAGCUAAAUAUUGGCGAGAGACCGAUAGCGAACAAGUACCGUGAGGGAAAGAUGAAAAGAACUUUGAAAAGAGAGUUAAACAGUACGUGAAAUUGUCAAAAGGGAAGCGUUUGACACCAGUGUUGUUUUUCUGAAAAUCAAUUAAAGAACUGUUUAUGCUAAGCUGUUUAGACUUUAUCAGCUAACUGUUUAGUUUUGAGCUUUUCUUUAAUGCACUUUUCAGUUAACAAGUCAACAUCAAUUUCUUUUGCUGUAAAAAAGCUUGAGGAAGGUGGCUUGAGAUUCGUCUUAAGUGUUUAUAGCCUCUUGCCUAUGCAGUCGGAGAGAUUGAGGUCUGCAGCGUAGAUCCUUCGGGGCUAAAUGCAUUUGUGCUAAGUUAUAGCAUUUUAUAGACAACUUGUUGACUAUGAUUUGUCUUGUAGCUUACUCGCUUAUGUUAUUUUACCUACGCUUAGGAUGUUGAACGCGCACAGAGUCUC
RNAcentral lists this ribosomal RNA (774 nucleotides) under uncultured Neocallimastigales. Its description in RNAcentral is "partial large subunit ribosomal RNA". It matches the Rfam family "Eukaryotic large subunit ribosomal RNA", at positions 24 to 635 of the family's 3401-position model. The record is from RNAcentral. Lineage: Eukaryota; Fungi; Neocallimastigomycota; Neocallimastigomycetes; Neocallimastigales.